Molecule: RNA transcript, 5902 nt
Organism: Mus musculus (house mouse)
Lineage: Eukaryota; Metazoa; Chordata; Mammalia; Rodentia; Muridae
Gene: Psat1
Gene name: phosphoserine aminotransferase 1
Exons: 9
Source: RefSeq, marked validated
GCGGCCUGAGACAGCGAACCAAUGGAGCGCCGACUCAGCAGGCUGAAGCCCGCUCUGCCUUUGCAUCCGGAGACGCGGGCUGUUCGCGUGGUCUCUGCUCCUGCCACUUCCCCUGCUGUCGCCUUAGCACCAUGGAAGCCACCAAGCAAGUGGUUAACUUUGGGCCCGGGCCUGCCAAGCUGCCACACUCGGUAUUGUUGGAGAUCCAGAAGCAGCUACUAGACUACAGAGGACUCGGCAUCAGUGUGCUCGAAAUGAGUCACAGGUCAUCAGAUUUUGCCAAGAUUAUUGGCAAUACAGAGAAUCUUGUGAGGGAAUUGCUAGCUGUUCCCAACAACUACAAGGUGAUCUUUGUACAAGGAGGUGGGUCUGGCCAGUUCAGUGCUGUCCCCUUAAAUCUGAUUGGCCUGAAAGCUGGAAGGAGUGCUGACUACGUGGUGACCGGAGCUUGGUCAGCUAAGGCUGCGGAAGAAGCCAAGAAGUUUGGAACGGUGAACAUUGUCCACCCUAAACUUGGAAGUUACACAAAAAUUCCAGACCCAAGCACCUGGAACCUCAACCCGGACGCCUCCUAUGUAUACUUCUGUGCAAACGAGACUGUGCACGGGGUGGAGUUUGACUUCGUACCUGACGUCAAGGGAGCGGUGCUGGUCUGUGACAUGUCCUCAAACUUCUUAUCCAGGCCGGUGGAUGUUUCCAAGUUUGGUGUGAUUUUCGCUGGUGCUCAGAAGAAUGUUGGCUCUGCCGGGGUGACGGUGGUGAUUGUCCGGGAUGACCUGCUGGGGUUCUCGCUCAGAGAGUGCCCAUCAGUCCUUGACUACAAAGUGCAGGCUGGGAACAACUCUUUGUAUAACACACCUCCGUGCUUCAGUUGGUGAAAAUAAAGAUGCGGUGACAAUGCCUGUAUUCCCGGGGCUUAGGAGACAGAAGAAUCAGGAGUUCAAGGUCAUGUUUGACUGUUUAGCAAAUGCAGGGCAACACAUGGCCUGUGCAGACAGAGGCUCUUGGGAGGCUCGGAGCAGCUGGAACCUCAGGUGUAGGGGAGUUGACCUCAGGGCCAGCUAUAUGAAGGCCUUCAUAAGCUUCUGAGAGGGUUAUGACAUCUAGAUCCCACCCCAAGCUUAUCUGCAGCCUGGAGACUUCUGGUGACCUUUCCUAAACUCUGACACACAGGGUAUAAUUCAUAUUGUUUAAAAAUAUAUAUAAAUAGCACCCACACUUAGCAAAAGUUACCAGGGAAACACUGCCUGCCUAUCUAGUCACCCCUCUUUAACCAUCGAAGACUCUUUCCAGGACCCCCAAGGGGUCCAAAAUCCUUUAUUAUUAUUAUUUUUUAAAGAUGUAUUUAUUUUAUGUAUGUGAGUGCACUGUUGUCUUCAGACACACCAGUAGAAGGCAUCAGAUCCCAGUACAGAUGGUUGUGAGCCACCAUGUGGUUGCUGGGAAUUGAACUCAGGACCUCUGGAAGAGCAGCCGGUGCUCUUAACCACUGAGCCAUCUCUCAAGCCCAGAGUCCAAAAUUCUUAGGUGGUCAAAUCUCUUUUUAAAAAAUAGCCUAGUAUAUAGCUAUGCACAUCUUCAUGCUUUAAGUCAUCUCUAGAUUAUUUAUAAUACCUAAUACAAUAUAAAUGCUCUAAGUAAUUUAUAUACUGUAUUGGGAAAGGAGUAAAGACAAGGAAAAGAUUUGUUUGUAUUCACUCUAGACGCUGAUUUUGAAAUAUUUUUUUUCUGUAAAAGGUUGGCUGAACCCCUGGUUACCAAAUUUGGGAGUUUGAAGAGGUCAGAUGUAUACUGUCAUAUAUUUAAUUGUGUCAGUGAACUGUGACACCCGUAACACAGGUUUAACUGUGAACCAUGCUGCUUAGACUUGUGUGACUCCGUUUUUUAACCCAGCAGUGUACCGUGGGCAUUCUCAUGUGUUAGGUUAAAUGCCUGCCCUUUCCACCAUUGUUUUCAUAGCUGGAUGCUAUUGCAGGGGACAUUUCAGGCAUGCUUAGGUGGUAAGCCUACUUGGUGUGUUUGGGGGUAGACCGAUUUAGAAGUAGAGGCAUCAGUCAAUUAAAAGUGUGCACCAGUGGUGGAAAGAACUGGGCUCAAGUUGUAAAUCCACAUAGCAUUAUAAGGCUCCUGUAGUUUCAAGAGUUUUGGCUUUAGAGGAUAGAGGUUUGAGUUAGUGAUGAAGUGGAAUCUAGAAGACCUUGUGGUAAGCAUUCACAGGGGCCCAAUGGCAGUGCUUAGCCAGGGGCUGGGUGGGGAAGCAGGCAGGAGCUUGCUCCGAGCAGCCUGCUUCCUUCUGAUCCAGCUGCUGCUUGCUGAGGCAUUGGAGACCCAGGCUGAGGGGCCUGGCUGCAGGCAGUCUGUAGAAAUGUGUUGGCUUUCUGCUGCUUUCGCCUGCUCAGAUCCUAAGAAGGCAGCCACAGGGUAUGGGCAGCCAGCCUGAACAUGGCGGGGCUCCAGCGUUGGUCCUGAGGUCUAGCUGAGACAGGCCCUUGCUGGUUUGGAUUUUCUUAGAGAAUCUACAGUUUUGAAACAUAGGCAUAAGAGAGCAUCAGGUAAAAGUGACUGUGGUUUCCUAAAAGUGUUCGUCAUGAUUCUCCUUGGCUCUGGUAGUCUGGGAUGUUUCUGUGGUUCAUAGGCGAGUAGGCUGUAGAUGGUGGGACGAGCAGUUUGUGGUUAUGUACUUCUUGUCAAGUUCUCUGUGUCUGGUGUUGCUUUCUGUUGCCUUCUGGGAAGAAACUCUGUGGUUCUUGGCCUACCUGGUUGAGCCAGUGAAUGGCCAAUCGGUCCAUGUCAGAGGUUUCUGAGGGAUAGUAGCCCUUUGGCUGUCAGAGAUCUGUGAGCUUUGGCUGCUCUCCCAGGCCCUGUGCUGAGCAUACGGUUUGUGGGAGAUAAGAAGUAUGAAUACUUGGCUCAGUACUGGAUAGUCCUGUCUUGUGGCUGGACCUCCUAGAACCAGGAACACAAAUCUUCUACCAUGACCAGGAAGCAGCCUAGCUGGGGCAUCCCUAUCACCAUUUUUGCUCAGCCUUCCCAUCAGACCUUGGCAGCUCCCAUAGUUUACCUUUAUCCCACACCCGGACACAGCUACGCUCUAGAGAGAAUGGAGCCGAUGCCUCCGGACUCCAAGCUCAAGGAGGACAGGAGACCUGCUUCUGCUUCUUGGGCUUUCAGUGAGGGGUAUAUGGGAUCUUUCUAAAGGCAGUUAGAAGAUUUUUGGCCAACUACCCAUCAUUCUCAAAUCCCAUUUAAUUUCAGCUGUGCGUGGAUACCUAACAGCUACCAUUUGGGUAGGCUAUGCUUACCAGGCCCUGUGCCAAGCAUGGGUUUUGUGGGAGAUAAGAAGUCUUAACACUUGGCUCAGAAAGAGAUGGACCUGUGUUGUGUUGUGGCUGGGCCUCAGAAACAGGAACACAAAUCUUACACUAUCUAUUCCCUACUAUCCUGGGUUUUUUUGUGGGGGGGGGGUUCAUUUUGAGAACAGUCUUGUUAUGUAGCUCAGGCUGGCCUUGGACUCUGUAGUCCAGGCUGAGCCAUCCUUCUGCCUCAGUCUCCCACUCACUAAGGUUACAGGUCGGUUGCUCUCCAUUUCUGAUCCCUGCUUCUCUAGCUAGUAUGUUGGCUUCGCUGUGGCUAGAAACGAGAUCUGCUGGGGCUCAUCUUCUACCCGGAAGGUGCUAGUUCAGUCCUGGCUUUCCCAACUCCCAGCUUAGAAGAUGCCAGGGAAGCUGCUGAUUGGUGUAGUUAGGUCUCGUGCCCACCUCUUACGGCCAGGGGAGCAAAUCUUGCAGCUCAAUCUGCAUGUUGGAUGUGGGGGAGCUGAAAAGAACAGGAUAGGCCCAACUACCAGGCAUCCGCCACGGGUAGUGAUGACUCCGUGCCCUCAGAGGUAAAGACAAGCUGACAUUUACAUGGUGACUAGUCCUGUGUGGUCCAUCACUGCCCAUCUCUGCCUGGUGGGAGGCACUAACUUGGGACUCUGGGAUAGAAAAGAACAGUGUGUGCCUCCAGCCCUCUAGCAUUAGAGUCUAAGACAUAGACAUGGUCACAGAAGUUUAAAAUAAAGAAACGGAAUGAUAAAACAAAAGCAGGGCGGACCCCACAAGUGUGGAUCAUGCCUACGAGCAAGGGACUGUAGGGAUUCAGGAGGUGUGGAGAGCUGGCUUAGGGUGGGUUGGGGAGACAGUCUAGAGCAGUGGUUCUCAACCUUCCUACUAAUGCCACCCUUUGUUUCAGUUCCUCAUGUUGUGCUGACCCCCAACCAUAAAGUUAUUUUCAUUGCUACUUCAAAAUUGUAAUGUAAAUAUCUGUGUUUUCUGACGGUUUUAGGCAACCCUGUUUAGAGUCAUUGAGUCAGGGUUGUCUAAAGAGAUGGGGGGGGUGUGGUCCCCCUUUGCAGAGGGUCUGGCGCUCUGGGUUACCUCUUUAGAAUACCAUGUGAACAUCAGCUGCAUUGGCUUAGUUAACUUGGCUCACUCUUCGAGUGGAAUGCUUUUAUCCAUUUGUAACGAUGCUGAAAGUGUCUGCGUGACUCCCAGUACCAGUUUGCUUAUAUGUCCUUUUGGCUUUUGGGAGGUGAACUAACUGGUGUUAUGUUUUAUCCCUGCUUCAGCAUCUACGUCAUGGGCAUGGUCCUGGAAUGGAUCAAGAACAACGGCGGGGCCGCAGCCAUGGAGAAGCUCAGCUCCAUCAAAUCCCAAAUGAUUUAUGAGAUCAUUGAUAAUUCUCAAGGAUUUUAUGUAUGCCCAGUGGAGCGCCAGAAUAGAAGCAGGAUGAACAUCCCAUUUCGCAUUGGCAACGCCAAAGGAGACGAAGCUUUGGAAAAGCGGUUUCUUGACAAGGCGGUAGAACUCAACAUGAUCUCCUUGAAGGGGCACAGGUCAGUGGGAGGCAUUCGUGCCUCUCUGUAUAACGCUGUCACAACCGAAGACGUUGAGAAGCUGGCGGCCUUCAUGAAGAAUUUCUUGGAGAUGCAUCAGCUGUGAACAUGACCAGCCACGCUCUGCCUGUGAGCAGCACGCAGCGUCGUUUAGAGUAACUUGGGAUUGACUACAGAAACUUAACAGACAUGGAUUUUUUUUUCCCAAAUACAUGCUUAUUACAGAUUCCUUUCUCAAAGAAUAACGACUAAACAUCAGGGCACUGCAGAGCUGAGGAAACUCCCAGCUAACAGCCACCUUCAUUCUCAUGUGACCUGGAAGCAUUUUGAAAGCUUUCUUUCCUGUUGCUCUUCUAAAUGAAUUCAGCCUGUCAGCCAUCUUUGCUGCCCCCUUCUCUAGGUGGACUGCCUUGGGCUUUGCCCUGCUGGUUCCAACUGGUUAUUAUUAGGAGGUUGGAGGCCCUGUGGGCUGGAUUGACAGCAGUGAGUUUGCUGGGUUCUGCAGCAGUUGGUUCAAGUCAACAGCGACUCACGAGCGUUUUGGAUCUGUGUACUGCAAUUCCCAUAAAGAGAUAGGUGUGUUAUGCUGUGUUUAUGUAGUGGGUAUUGUUUUAAACACCGUACGGUUUAUGCCUAUGCCUUUAUAUUUCUAAUGAAACAGUUUUGUUCAGCCCAUGACUUUGUGCAUGACUGUCGUCCGUUCUAGUCACCUGUGCUCUCCAUCUACUGCCUUUUAAAGCUGCGUCAUGAGAAGGAUCUACACGUUCCACCAUGACUCUCGUUUCUUGCCACAAGUAGAAGAAAUGGUUGAUUCUUUGCUUUUCGGUUAGGCCGUUAAACAAAACUCAGUCACACCCCUGCCUUCCACCCUCAAACUGUGAUCACGUGGCUGUUCUUGUAGUUUAACCAGGGCAACACUAUAUAUUCCAGGUCUAUACAUUGCUGAGGUCUUUUUCUGGUUGUUCAUGUAUCAGUGUUUUCAAUCGACUGCAUGGAAAACAUUAAAGUCCUAAGUCAUCUAAGCCA